RNAcentral lists this ribosomal RNA (200 nucleotides) under uncultured bacterium. RNAcentral describes it as "partial 16S ribosomal RNA". It matches the Rfam family "Bacterial small subunit ribosomal RNA", at positions 8 to 205 of the family's 1533-position model. The record is from RNAcentral.
AGAGUUUGAUCCUGGCUCAGAACGAACGCUGGCGGCGUGCCUAAUACAUGCAAGUCGAACGAGAAAGUGCCUUCGGGCAUAAGUACAGUGGCAGACGGGUGAGUAAUACAUAGGUAACUUACCUCCAAGAUGGGGAUAACCUUCCGAAAGGAGGGCUAAUACCGAAUGAGACCACAGUUACAUGCGUAACAGCGGUCAAA